UACGAAGGGGGCAAGCGUUGUUCAGAUUUACUGGGCGUAAAGGGCGCGUCGGCGGGCGACCAUGUCAGAGGUGAAAGCCCCGGGCUCAACCUGGGAAUUGCCUUUGAAACGGGUUGUCUUGAGGACGGGAGAGGAUGGUGGAAUACCCAGUGUAGAGGUGAAAUUCGUAGAUAUUGGGUGGAACACCGGUGGCGAAGGCGACCAUCUGGCCCGUAACUGACGCUGAGGCGCGAAAGCGUGGGGAGCAAACAGG
RNAcentral lists this ribosomal RNA (253 nucleotides) under uncultured bacterium. Its description in RNAcentral is "partial 16S ribosomal RNA". It matches the Rfam family "Bacterial small subunit ribosomal RNA", at positions 524 to 776 of the family's 1533-position model. The record is from RNAcentral.